CUCCUUUUACCAAUGAAGAGAGAAUAAGAUUGGAUGGUUACCAUUGUCUUCAAAAUGAUCUUGGGUUAUGAUCACACAAGUCCUAACAAGAAAUGAGUUCUUCAGAAUUGUCAACACAUAAAGAUUUAAAAAACAAGAUUUAGCGAUGGAAGAUAAUUUGCCCAAAGUCAUUGAUGAGAAAGUGGCAGAGCUAGAAUUCAAAAUCCAGUUUAUCCAACUCUGAAGGAAGGACGCCAACAACUUAUGUUCGUAGAGAGAGAGAGAUGUCAUGUGGCCUAUACAUUGUUGGAAACUGAGUUGUCAAAAUGAUUCCAAAAGAUGGUUUAUUUCAGUAAGAAAAUAUACCAAUCCUGGAGGCCUAAAUUUGCCCCAAAAAUGUCACAUUGAACUCUAACAUCCUUAUGCUGAUAGAGAUGGCAUCUCUGCUCAGGUCAAGUUCAGCUGUGAAGAGCAGAUGACAAAGUCACAGUGGAUGAAAAGGUACAGUCAUUGUCUGCGUUUUCCCUGAACCUUGGUGCCAGCCAAUACCAAAGUUCCUGGGAUCUAACCUCCUACUCAGAGAGCUCUUGAAGUUGGGCUUGCUUCUCUCAGUCCACUGGCCUGUUUUUGAUCCUUCUAAGGAUUGAUGCCUUACCUCAUCACCCUGGGAGGCAAGCAAAGUCAAUGCUUGGUCUUUGGCAAGGUAUUCUGUGCUGUUUAUGAUGCCACAGCUAUUUGGCAGUGAUGCCUGCCCCUCCCACCCUCAAUGUCAGGCAGCCUGUAUCUCUGCCAGCACCAUCAGUGGGGAGAGGAACUAGUACUUCAAAGGUCUCAGUGCGGCUCAUAAAAGAUGAGGAGGAUUGACCCAAGCCAAGAUGAAGAUUGUACAUUUGGCAGUUAUGUUUGGAUAUGAUGAUGAGAUAACCCAUAGAAAUGCAGGAUUAACUGGAAGGAAGUCUGGAUUUAAUAGCCCUUGAGCAGGCUAAAAAUAAAUGUCAAAGAGAAUUAAAAUCCCUGGGGGAAAACACUUGAUAUCUCACACCCAUCAAAGAAGGAGAAGAAAAGGAGGACAAAGCAAAUAGUACCACUCAAAUAGUACCACUUAGGAUUCAAAGAGUUGACUACAGAUGAUAAUAACGUCAAACAUCCAGAGAAUGAAAAUGAAAUGAGGGAGGGAAAUGAAAUACUCAAAAGCCAUGAUCAGCAAGGUGAUGAAGAACUGAAGGCACUGCGAAAGUCUGGGGACAGUGAGCAAGAAUAGAGACUCUGAAGGGUUUAAAAGGGAACAAUUAUUGCAGGAAACUAGAAACCAGAAAUCAGCUGGAAACUCACUACAAGUUUCAAGCUUUUUCAAAGAAGAGGGCAAAACUGAAUAUGAGUUCAAAGGACAAUUAAAUAUCCAAAGUCCACUGCCAAUGCAAGUUGGAACUAACCUCUUUUGCUCCCAGAUGGGAAGACUUUCAAUUCCUAGGUAUGAAAGUCUUUGACUCCAGUAGCCCGUACCUGGCUGCAGCGAGAGGGGAAGCUAUUAUCAGACUUCGUGUUUAGUCAUACCCUGUUCCAAAAGCCAUAUAAAGUGUCUUACAAGAAAAUAGAAACAUUGCAACACGACAAUAAAAAUUGGAAGAAAGUGAAAGAAUUCAGGCAAAAAGAGAACAAAGUAGAGCUUAUGAAACAAAGGCAAAAAUAAAUAACACACAAAUAAAUCUUUACAAUAAAAUCUGACAAGAAUGGUUUCCAG
Long non-coding RNA from Equus caballus (horse), 1720 nucleotides. Lineage: Eukaryota; Metazoa; Chordata; Mammalia; Perissodactyla; Equidae. The record is from Ensembl.